GACAGGCUUAGUUUAGGGCCAAAGAAGUUUGAGCUGUUGUGGAGAACAGUGGGAAGAGGCAGCAGAAGUUAAGUGACAGCCUUGGAGUUUUCAGUGUGGAAUGGUGCUAACAGUGGCCAGACUAGUGACUUGGACUCAUAAGACCUCUUAACUUUGCUGUAGGUCACCUGGAGUUCUGUAACCAGAAAAGUGAUGAGCUAAGAUUGUUGCUAUGACUAAUGAUUAAUGAAGGUCUUUAAAACACUGAGCUUUUUAUACACACUAAUUGAUACUGUAUUUUUUAAGAGUGCAGUCAUACAGAAAUCACCAGACUCUUCAAAAAAUGAAUGCAACAAAUAACUUGGAAACACAACCCUAAUGACCAUAUUUUAAAAAUUUUUUUCCCCAUAUUGAUACGAGACCAUGAAGACCUAAGCCAAGCUCUAUUUUCAGAUGUGAUAGAAUGCAUAGGUGGGUUCUGUGCUAAUGUCUCCCUGACGAAGCAAGCAGUGUCCUUGGAUCCUGAGACAGCGUGGGGCAAAGUGGCUGGGAAUUCUCAGAAGACAAUGGUGGAGGCUGCAUUUGAUGGAGACCAAGAGAUGGAGGUUCAGAGACAUCAUCUCGCUCAUGUCAGAGCUGAGGAUAUUGACUGCAUAGCAUCCCAUGGCGGCAUGUAGAGCAAAGAAGUUAUCUUUUGGUUUUCCACCAACCCACACGUUUCCUGACAUGAAUUUUUUUAAAUGACUUUAGUUGUUUAUUUAAAUUAAAAAAAAAAACCUAAAUUAAAAAAAUUUAGUUAAAAUGUAUAGUGCUUACUAUGAGCCAGCCCUGUUCUAAGUGUUUUUUCCCCCCCAUAUAUUAACUCUUUUAAUAGUAUUCACUCUAUAAGGUAUGUACUUUCCUCUUUUACAGAUGAAGAAACUGAGGCACUGAAUGAUGAAAGAAGUUUGUUCAAGGACAAAACCAGUAAGUGAAAGAGCUGAGAUUUGAACCCAGGGGUUUAGCUAACCGAUAUUGUGCUUUUAAUUUCUGCUCUUUACUAUUUCUUUCUUUUUAAAAAUAGUUAUUUAUUUAUUUGGCUGCUUCAGGUCUUAGUUGCAGCAUGGGAUCUUUUUGUGAUGUGUGGGUUUCUCUCUAACUGUAUUUCAUGGGCUCAGUGGUUGCAGCAUAGGCUUAGUUGUUCCCUGGUAUGUGGGAGCUUAGUUCCUGGACCAGGGAUUGAACCCAUGUUCCCUGUAUUGGAAGGUAAAUUCUUAACCACUGUUCUACCAAGGAAGUCCUGCUCUACUGUUUCAGCGUGUAAGUCUAUUAAAUGAGGUUGUUGUUGUUGUUUAGUUCCUAAGUCGUGGCCAAUUCUUUUGCGACUCUAUAGACUAUAGCCCGCCAACCUCCUCUAUCCAUGGGAUUACCAAGGCAAGCAUACUGAGGUGGGUUGUUAUUUCCUUCUCCAGGGGAUCUUCCCAACCCAGGGAUCGAUCCCCCAUCUCCUGCAUUGGCAGGAGAGUUCUUUACCACUGAGCCACCAGGAAAGUCCAUUAAAUGAGAUACCACACAAAAAAUAUAAAAUGCAGGACUGUGCAUAGGAGGCCCUCAAAAAUUUUACUUCCCCUUCUGUUAAAAUGAUGGUGUACACCUGAAACUAACACAACAUUGUUAAUCAACUAUACUCCAAUAUAAAAUAAAAAUGUCGAUGUAUGUGUUUAUAUCUAGGGA
This is a long non-coding RNA of Bos indicus x Bos taurus (hybrid cattle), 1692 nucleotides long. NCBI's taxonomy places the organism in Eukaryota, Metazoa, Chordata, Mammalia, Artiodactyla, Bovidae. The record is from Ensembl.